UUCCCAGUCACGAUAAGCAUACCUGUAUCGUGAGGUCUAGGAGACAAUUCGGAGAAGUAUACCCCUUCAUUUGUUAAGAAGAAUUCUACACCAAAUAUUCCAGCGCCCCCUAAUGCUUGUGUCACUUUUUCUGCCAUGUAUUGUGCUUCCGCUAAAUCUUUUUCAGAAACACGGGCAGGUUGCCAACCUCUUGAUAGUCGCCACGCUCUUGCCUGUGUCCAAUUGGCGCACAAAAUAGGGUAGGUAAACUGUGGUUUUGAGUAACGGUUAGUAAAGUAAUUUCUGAAUGGAAGUUUACAAAAGCUUCUACAAUUACUUCUACAAUAUCACCACGAGAACCUUCAACUGCAUAAUUCCACGCUUUUUCAAUAUCUUCUUCUUUUAUAAUAGUAGAUUGUCCUUUUCCAGAAGAGCUCAUUAAUGGUUUUACUACACAUGGAAUACCUACUUCGGUAACUGCUUUUUCUAAUUCUUCUUUGCUAGUUGCGUAACGAUAGGUUGCUGUUCUAAGUCCUAAAUCUUUUGCAGCUAAAUCACGAAUAGCUUUUCUGUUCAUGGUAAAAUUAGCUGCUUUUGCUGAUGGCACUACGGUAAUUCCUUUUUUUUCAUAGUCAUAAAGACGCUCUGUACGAAUGGCUUCAAUUUCUGGCACAAUAAAAUCGGGUUGGUGUUUAGCAACUAUAGCAUCCAAUGCCUCGCCGUCUAACAUAUUAAUUACUUCAAAGGCAUCAGCAACUUGCAUAGCCGGCGCAUUUUCAUAACUAUCUACUGCAAUACAAUAUUGACCUAUGCGUUGUGCGGCAAUUACAAAUUCUUUUCCUAAUUCUCCAGCACCUAAAAGGAGUAUUUUUUUCUUCAUACGAUUUUAAUUAAAAACCCCGAGUUUCCUCAGGGCAUAAAUUUUAUUGCAAAGCUUCUUUAAUUCUUUUGAUGGCUUCUUUAAGUUGUUCCUCGCUCGUUGCAUAAGAUAAACGAAUGCAGUUAGGGUUUCCAAAUGCAUCACCUGUAACGGUUGCAACGUUUGCUUCUGCAAGAAGGUACAUUGCAAAGUCGUUUGCGUCUUUGAUUAGUUGUCCUCUUAAAGUUUUUCCAAAAUAUUCUGAUACAUCUGGGAAAAAAUAGAAGGCACCUUCUGGCAUGUUUAAUUUAAAACCUGGUAUUUCAGAAAGUAAUUCGUAAACCAAUUGUCUUCUAUUUUUAAAAGCAUCAACCAUAUAUGCUGCUUACCCGCAGAAGGACGGAAAGACCCUAUGCACCUUAACUGUAAGCUGUCACUGGUCGUUUGGUUUCCAUGCUUAGCGUAAGUGGGACACUUUGAAGCGAUACUUUCGGGUAUCGUGGAGUGGACGAUGAAACACCACCCUUGGGUAUUGAACGAUCUAACCGCGACCCCUAACCGGGGCGUGGGACCAUGUCAGCCGGUCAGUUUUACUGGGGCGGUAUCCUCCCAAAGAGUAACGGAGGAGUGCGAAGGUUGGCUCAGCGUGGUUGGCAAUCACGUGACGAGUAUAUUGGCAUAAGCCAGCCUAACUGUGAGACUGACAAGUCGAACAGAUACGAAAGUAGGCCAAAGUGAUCCGGCGGUUUAAAGUGGAAUUGCCGUCGCUUAACGGACAAAAGGUACGCUAGGGAUAACAGGCUGAUCUUGCCCAAGAGUUCAUAUCGACGGCAAGGUUUGGCACCUCGAUGUCGGCUCAUCGCAUCCUGGGGCUGGAGAAGGUCCCAAGGGUCCGGCUGUUCGCCGGUUAAAGCGGUACGCGAGCUGGGUUCAGAACGUCGCGAGACAGUUCGGUCCUCUAUCCUCUGUGUGCAAUAUCGUGACUGGGAAAGUAAUUUAAGUUAGUACGAGAGGAACACUUAAUUUGGAUAUUUGGUUCAAGGCUCGUCUGAAAAGACGAUGGCCUGAAGCUACCAUCCAUUGGAUAAUGACUGAACGCCUCUUAAGUUUGACUCUAUUCUUGAAGUGGAUGCGAGUGGG
This 1978-nucleotide ribosomal RNA is filed under the name freshwater metagenome. Its description in RNAcentral is "bacterial LSU rRNA". The stretch from base 1159 to 1978 matches the Rfam family "Bacterial large subunit ribosomal RNA". The record is from RNAcentral.